Lagopus muta (rock ptarmigan) is the source of this 242-nucleotide long non-coding RNA. RefSeq lists it as uncharacterized. The record is from RefSeq and is a predicted model, not a curated record. The transcript is spliced from 3 exons. Lineage: Eukaryota; Metazoa; Chordata; Aves; Galliformes; Phasianidae.
AUACAGUAUUCCUUCAGGCUGCUGUUGUUUAGAGGGCUCUGACAGAGCUCAUGUUCAUGCCUGGGAUAAGGAUUUUUGCAUCAGACACAGGAAACUGGGCUCAUCCUUUCCAAGCUAACCCAGCAUCUGAUAAUUUAACCCAGGAAAGGGUAAUGGUGCUGCAGGAGCUGCUGAGGGCAGGAAGAGCCUCCUGUGACCCCUAGGAUGGAACACAAGUCUGCUAAUAUUGGUGCAUUCCUCAG